GGAAUGGCUUGAUGAAGCAAGGACAUCAUCGUGGCUCGUUCGCUCGCACCCUCUGUCGUCGCCGCUGGAUGCAUGUGGUCUCUCCUCUACCUAUACCUCCGGUUCAUACGACUAGACGCCGCGCGCCGCCUCCUUUGCCGCCACCACCUGCGCGUGCGCGUGCUGGAGCAGCGGCGACCAAGGUGGGACGGGAAGUAGCCGACGAAGAGGCUCCGGCUGCCGCUGCGCGAGCGGAACCGGGGGGUGAGGGAGGGAAAGUUCGCUUCGGAAUCCCUGUAACGACGUAACAUGCUGACACUAGGGAGUGAACUCUUCCACCUCCUCAAGUCUUCCCGAGUUCCGGACAGUAGAUAGUGAAGUUUUACGAAGGUUCGACGGUUAUAUAGACGCGAACAACAUCUACUACAGAGGUGUAACCUGUUUUGGGAACUUGACCUUAGAGUGUUCCGUAAACGAGGGUUCCAAAUGUCUCAACAGCCUUAGCUCUGGGACCGCCUUUGUUAAUAAUUACUCCUCAGUCAACAACCUAGUUCGACCUGUGACCUAAGUAAGUGACUUCGUAAACACCGCUUCGAGUUUAGUCAACGGUUGUUUUAACAACCUAACUUUUCGUACCGACGUGUAUCUUCACCGAAUCUCUAACUAGGUUCACAAUCGUUCCACCUACGUCUCCUACCAGAAGCCUUCCUCGAUCGUUCAAACCUCUGUCCCUUGACCCGAAUGCUGUAACGUGGGAAAAAGUAGACGCACGACAAGAACUUCUGUUUUCUAAACAGUUCACGGUUUAUCAAGAAGAUUUACGAAGCAUAGGUAAAAGCUCCCUUCCUAGGAUAGAACGUAGACAAAUGAGGGUCCACCUUGGAGUAAAAUGAUUCUUUAAUAUGUAACAGGUAAAAUAAACGAAGUAAAAUACAAAAAUUGGUAGAAUGUGUUUGGUCUUUAUCAAGAUGGAACUAAAACCGAAACGUAAAGGUUUUGAAUCACAAGUUCCUUAUUGUAGUAGUGAAUUUCUCGAGGACCUCGCUCGAGGGUAUUUCUUCCAUUUCAUGGACAGAAGACUUACCGACAAAGAUCUUUUUGACUUAUGAACUCUAGUAACAAUCCUUAUGUAUAAAUCAAAUGAAAAGUAGCUAGCACGACUUAUGUGUGACUCCUAAGAGUACGACAACUUUGGUUCUGGUUGAGUUUUCAUCGUGGGGAAGACCAAUGGCUGACAGUAUCACGUAUGGCUGUACCACGGUUUUAAGGAAACUGGGACAUUCUAUAAAUAUUUGGAUCAUUCCAAUCUGUAACCCUUUUGUAAAAAGUUCCGUUUAAAUGAGUGUGAAAUAGGCCUACGAGUUAAAAUUUAAAACAUAAUGAGUGUGUCUAUAGUUAUCUAUUGCUUCAUUACUUUUUAACUGAUGUAGAUAGAGUUUUGGGGCAAAACACUGACCUCCCAGUUAUAAUUGAUUGAUUGUUUAAUGAUAUCAUCGUAAGUAGAAAAAGGCUAUUUCUUGCGAAAAUAACUGACUAUCGUAGCCGUUUUCAUUGUACGUCCGUACCGGUCUCUUAGGUUAAGAUCAUCAUAAACAACCAAUUAUCGAAUGGUAGUUGGAAACCUCUGUUUCCAAGUUCUCGUAUAGAAACCAUAGAAGAAGAAUGUCAUGUAGAUUGAAAGAAAACAGUUAGGUACAGACAUCAUAAGUGAGAGUAUAAAGGAGACUUGUCUUGAGAUGAGGGAGACAUUUGAUUAUAUUCUAGAAAAUCACUACAUUUUCUAGAAUAUAAUCAAAUGUCUCCCUCAUGGUUAAUACGACUAUAAACUACGUACACUAUAAUAAGUAGUAAAUACAUAAAUUGGACUUAAAACGGUGAAGAACUAUAUGAAAUGUUGACUAUGUAGAUCCUUAAAAAUUGUAAUUAAAGUCCAGUACAAGUCGUGUCUACCUAUACGAAAAGGUCUCUGUAUGAUAGAUCCACGUUUUACCCGUGCACUACAGCAAAUGGCACAGGAGAGUCGACGUACACUUCUACCACUAGAAUGGUAAGUCCUUCGAUAUCUUCGUCAACUCCUGUAGAAGUCUUCUUUACGUGACGUAGACAUGUUCAACUUACAGAAGGUACUUUUUUGAUGGUCAUAACUACUGUUAUGGUAUAGUAGCAGCAGAACAGAGCCCUUUCUACUACACUAGGAACAAGCUUACCAGACCUUACUACGAAGUCCAGUUGUAUCUACGGCACGGAACGGUCGGCUCUCUAAAAUGCCGUAACGUGCCUUGUUCCCACAACCAGAUCCAUAACGUCGUCACCCCAAAUGAAGGAAAUCUCUACGGGGUCGUCAACCCUGUUUGGAAUGAACACGGCCUCUCCUUUAGUCCGAACACCGUCUAUACAGUUGUGAAAACUCCUAGGGUACCAGUUCUUUGCUUCUUUACCACUACCAACUGUACGAUUGGCCAAGGCCUCUUCGGAGGUUUAUGACAGGAUCUUUACGAAAUUCUUUUCACUGUUUUCAAGACGAUCUACUUAAGUUACACAGUUCCGUCCAAAACUCUUACUUAAAAUAGAGGAGUCUUUUAGUAAGUCGCUCCCCGUACUUGUAACCCAAGGUAUACUAUUAUCGUCAAUGACGAGCUGAAGUCGUAAACUACCACGUAGUAAAUACGACUUUCUUCGUGUAAGAACAGAAUUUCGACGUCCGUAACACCAACUCGUCUACGUACGACUUCCACCAUUACCCGUCAAGCUCUAUCGGAAUUUCAUACACAACACGUGAGAACGACGACUAUUAGUCUAUAUACGGGCUCUUUAAUAAUUUAGGUAACGAGCUUUUGUGCCCCACUAUCGUUGUAAAGAUGGUUUUGGAUUUACUUGAACCUAGGCCAACAGUACACGUGGACUCGAAUACCUUCUUACUGGUUUUACAAAAGUACCCGAGUUUAUUUAUAUUAAUGGUACCCUACAGUUUAUGGCCACUUGCCAAGGAACGACCUCAAAUAGUAGUAGAAGGUAGCUAUGACCGUAAAUGACGGGGAGUGGGUGUGUCGAUGCUGGCUUAAGUCGGUUUGUGUAAGUGACCUCGUAUAGAAACGACCCCCUUUCUCUUGGCCCUCCGAGGUAACUCCUGGAGGACGGGUGGACCGCACGGAGGACUAAAACAGUCGUUGAAGCUCUAAUCCAGCAAGCUGCCCACGCGUUUGGGAGUGGAUCCGGAGCGGCGGUAACAGCGACGGCCCUAGCUGCCCGAUUCCUCUCCGGAGUUCAACGGAGGUGGUUGACUUGACUUGGGACGUCUAACGCGAAGUGUGCUCUCCGAUGGCGUACUGAACGAACCUAGACACCUCCGUGAACGACGCCUGUUCUAAAAAGUACUUGACUACCCACUGUUUGAACACUGAAGACAAUAUCGAUACGCUUUCCGGCUCUAGCUCGUGAUGCGAUUCUUGGGUCCCCGUCAGGUGGUAGAGUAAGUGGCAAUGAUCGUCAUCAACGUCCGGCUCUAGCUCGUGAGAACGAACUACUAGCUAGCCCAACUUUUGCAUGACGAGAAGAAAAUCCGUAACGAGACGAGAGCCGUGAAGUGUACAUACGGCUACUUAUUACAACAGGGUGCCUAACGACUACCUAGAGCCGUUACGUGAACGUCAAGAGGCUGCAAAAGUCAAUUAUUCACCAUCUCUGGUUACAAUUCUAAAACCAUCGUGUUUUAUAAACUUAGACCGACUUUAAAGUCUUAAUAUAAAACUAAUCCAAUAAACACCACCUUGGUCAGUGGGUGGUCCCUAGUUCAGGAUUUAAAGCGAGGUCACGAGUGUAAAAAGAACUAAAUAAAGUCUAAAAAGUAGCCACAAACAAGUCACCCUACUCUGCAAAGGUACCAGAUACUACGCGGAUACUACUGAAACAACUAGAGUUCUACAACACGAGCGAGUCAUAGAGUCUCUACGAGGACCCCAUCCCACACGCACACAAGUAUCCCCGCUCACGUACACUCGUAGUUGUAAACAUGGCACAAAACUUUUCCUGCAGCUAUUCCUGGCUUGCAAGCCAGACCCCCGGAGGGUCUGGCUUGCUCCUCAAGCCAUGCUGUCCGUCGAGGGACGCUUGCUUUAGCAAACCCUCCUCUCCGGAGGGUCGGGCUUGCGAGGAAGGGCAGGAGCCAGAAAAGAGACAUGUUUUUUUCGGGUAUUUUUGCUUUUUCGGGAUGUCCGGAAAGGAGACAUGUUUUUUUUCGGGUAUUCUUGAUUUUUCGAGACAACAACACUGC
This 4249-nucleotide ribosomal RNA is filed under the name Triticum aestivum (bread wheat). RNAcentral describes it as "partial small subunit ribosomal RNA". The record is from RNAcentral. Lineage: Eukaryota; Viridiplantae; Streptophyta; Magnoliopsida; Poales; Poaceae.